Molecule: ribosomal RNA, 499 nt
Filed under: Turbinella rapa
Lineage: Eukaryota; Metazoa; Mollusca; Gastropoda; Neogastropoda; Turbinellidae
Description: partial 16S ribosomal RNA
Source: RNAcentral
UUUAUCAAAAACAUGGCUGUUUCUAUAUUGAAGAUAGAGAGUCGGACCUGCCCGGUGAAUUUUUUAACGGCCGCGGUACUCUGACCGUGCAAAGGUAGCAUAAUCAAAAAAAAAAAUAAUUGAAGGCUAGAAUGAAUGGUUUGACAAGAAUACAACUGUCUCUUUACAAUUACAUAAAAUUUUAUCUGCAGUUGAAGAAGCCUGCAUUUGAAUAAAAGACAAGAAGACCCUAUCGAGCUUAAAAAAAACUGGUGGAAUAACAAACUUAAUCCUAACUUAUAAAUAAAUAAAUAGUCAACUACUGGAAAUUUUGGUUGGGGCGACCGGGGAACAAAAAAAACUUCCUUUAUAAAAAUUUAGAUGCCCAAAUAUUGAUCCAGCAUUAUAUGAUUAAAGAAAUUAGUUUCCUUAUUAUAACAGCAUUAUCUUUUUUAAGAGUUCUUAUCGAACUUCCCUUUGUGACCUCGAUGUUGGACCAGAAUAUCCUAAAGAUGCAGCC